CAGUAGCCGCGGUAAAACGAAGGGGGCUAGCGUUGCUCGGAAUGACUGGGCGUAAAGGGCGCGUAGGCGGCGAACAUAGUCAGGCGUGAAAUUCCUGGGCUCAACCUGGGGACUGCGCUUGAUACGUGUUUGCUUGAGUUCGGAAGAGGGUCGUGGAAUUCCCAGUGUAGAGGUGAAAUUCGUAGAUAUUCGGAAGAACACCAGUGGCGAAGGCGGCUUACUGGCUCAUACUGGACGCUGAGGUGCGAAAGCGUGGGGAGCAAACAGGAUUAGAUACCCCAGUAGUCCCUGUCUCUUAUAC
RNAcentral lists this ribosomal RNA (301 nucleotides) under uncultured bacterium. RNAcentral's name for it is "partial 16S ribosomal RNA". It matches the Rfam family "Bacterial small subunit ribosomal RNA", at positions 509 to 807 of the family's 1533-position model. The record is from RNAcentral.